CAUUUUACCCUGCGCUUUCAGAGUUGCUUCAUACGGGAAGAAAAUCAAGCCUUCUUCCCAAUUCCUCAACCUCUUUCUAUUAUCAGCAUCUGGAUAUGCCAUUGUGUUCCUUACUCUAUUUUGGGGGGUACCCUUAUAGCACAUCUGGUCGAUGAACUGUUCAGCACCACGGACAGCAUUGCAGUCCGUAAAGCCAUUUGUCUAUUUCAGAUAAUCUUCCCGCUGCUGUGUCUCAUUCACUUCCCCCUAUCUUGGUUAAGCAGCAGUUUGACUGGACCAGGGGACCUCUCAGAACUGGGGCGGUGUCUCCUUGGAUGAAGAAGCAGCCCUACCAUCACGAGGGCCAGAGUUCAGAUCCCCAUCACUCCCGUAAGACACUGGGCACAGAAGCAAGAAUCUGUAAUUCUAGUGCUGGAAAGGCAGGAUCCCAGAUCCCUGGACCUCACUGGCCGGCCGGCCCAGCUAGCUGGGUAAGCUACAGAUUCAGUGAGAGACUAUCUCAAAGAACAAGGUGAGCUUCCAUAAGUGCAUAGGCCACACCCACACCCCCCCACACACAGACACACACACACACACAGACACACAC
Molecule: long non-coding RNA, 586 nt
Organism: Mus musculus (house mouse)
Lineage: Eukaryota; Metazoa; Chordata; Mammalia; Rodentia; Muridae
Product: predicted gene, 53344
Exons: 2
Source: RefSeq, a predicted model, not a curated record